AUGCUUGCUUCAGCAGCACAUAUACUAAAAUUGAAACCAAACAGAGAAGAUUAGCAUGGUCCCUGUAUAAAGAUGAUACACAAAUUCAUGAAGCAUUCUAUAAAUAU
This is a small nuclear RNA of Macaca nemestrina (pig-tailed macaque), 107 nucleotides long. The record is from Ensembl. Lineage: Eukaryota; Metazoa; Chordata; Mammalia; Primates; Cercopithecidae.